This 126-nucleotide non-coding RNA is filed under the name Balaenoptera musculus (blue whale). The record is from RNAcentral. Lineage: Eukaryota; Metazoa; Chordata; Mammalia; Artiodactyla; Balaenopteridae.
GUGUUGUAUGAAAGGAGAGAAGGUUAGCACUCCCCUUGACAAGGAUGGAAGAGGCCUUCGGGCCUAACAACACGCAUACGGUUAAGGCAUUGCCACUUACUUCGUGGCAUCGAACCACUGUUUUUA